RNAcentral lists this ribosomal RNA (482 nucleotides) under uncultured bacterium. RNAcentral describes it as "partial 16S ribosomal RNA". It matches the Rfam family "Bacterial small subunit ribosomal RNA", at positions 30 to 507 of the family's 1533-position model. The record is from RNAcentral.
AUUGAACGCUGGCGGCAUGCUUUACACAUGCAAGUCGAACGGUAACAGGCCGCAAGGUGCUGACGAGUGGCGCACGGGUGCGUAAUGCAUCGGAACGUGCCCAGUCGUGGGGGAUAACUACUCGAAAGAGUAGCUAAUACCGCAUACGAUCUAUGGAUGAAAGCGGGGGACCGUAAGGCCUCGCGCGAUUGGAGCGGCCGAUGUCAGAUUAGGUAGUUGGUGGGGCAAAGGCUCACCAAGCCAACGAUCUGUAGCUGGUCUGAGAGGACGACCAGCCACACUGGGACUGAGACACGGCCCAGACUCCUACGGGAGGCAGCAGUGGGGAAUUUUGGACAAAGGGCGCAAGCCCGAUCCAGCAAUGCCGCGUGCAGGAAGAAGGCCUUCGGGUUGUAAACUGCUUUUGUACGGAACGAAACGGCUCUGGUUAAUACCCGGGGCUAAUGACGGUACCGUAAGAAUAAGCACCGGCUAACUACGUG